CCUGAUCAUGGAAGGAGUCUGAGCCCAUUUUCGAACAAACUGAAUUAUUAGCAUUACGUGAAACUUAGCCAAUGACAAUGAAACAGAGCUAAUAAAAAAACGUCACACCAUUACACAAGCUUUGUGAUUUGUUGAACCAUGCUCAUCAUUUGAAUUACAAUUCUCAAAAAAACGCAAAUGUCACACGUGAACUCCACAAGACAAAACGCCAGGAGUUCGUGACACAAUGUUCAAAUUCUGAAGGCAGAACUAAGCUAAAAAUUAACCCAUUUAAGCUAAAUCACAUCUUAACAAUUGCCAAAUGCAAACAGAACAUUAAUAAUAUGGAUACUUGCUACCCCAAUCCAGCAAAACUAUGACAUUGAGCCAUCCAUUUAAAAGGUACAUCAAUUGUCUUUAGCAUAUGGCCCAAAAAUCGAAUCCAUUGCACUCAAUCAAACCCAUAUACUAACCUUAAAACAAACAAGUAAUAUCAACAACUACAUUUGACGGCCAAACUAAGGCAGACAUUAUCUAACAUAUGAUGUUCAGAACUCAUAUUUGAAUUACAGAUUAUAGCUUGAAGGGCAGUAAAUGCAAUUCUCUAAAUAAAAUGAAACGGGCAAAUAAGCUAAUAUACGACCAAACUUAUUGAAGAAUAUGACUCAAAGUUCCAGAUCUCCAUUUCUUGAUUCCAAAUCAACUUUACACUUAGAGGGAAUGCAGAAGUGUACCUGAGAUUGAGAGAACAAAGAAAUAAAGUGGGAUCAGUAGUGUUAACAACAAGGAUCAACAACAGCAACAGCAGUAGAGCCCAGCAAAACAGAAAGUGAACCAACAGACCAAUUUUUAAACCAGCAGAUAAGAUACAAUAAUCCAAACACUAAUUUCAGUCACUCGAUGGACCAACAGACCUCAAGACAAACUUGACUUCAACCCAUCUUAAAACCAACUAACCAGAAAAUUGUUUUAGCACCAAGAAAACCUCAAAAAUCACCAAAAGAAAUCAAUGAAAUAGUGUUGUUCUAAAGUUUUUCAGCCCUUUGUCUUUUUCUCUAAGAACUUUAGCUCUUGAAGUCUAUGAAAUAGUAAAAUUUAUGCAGCUUCUGUAUUUUUUUUAGAUUUCCAGCUCUCAAACUCUGCCUUGAAAGGCAAGAAAAGAUGCCUUUAUAGGCAAGGCAAGUAGGGCAGCCUUAAGGAAAUAAUUUCUGCACUUAGGCCCUUCUCAAAUUUCCAUUUUAGCCUAGGUGCCCUUAGUUUAAUUUUCAGAAUUCAAGAUAGCCCCCCACCCCAGUUUCCUAGAAUCUUGCCCAUUUAGUUACUGCAGAUUCCCUUAUCUACAAUUUCUACACUACCCUUUAAAAAUUCUAUUAUAAAAAAAACCCAGACCAAUACAUGGGUCAAAUUUACCCAGUUCCCAGCCCACAGGCCUGCAGAUUACCAUUAAUUCCCCUCUUGGGCUUUUGAUUCUUUCAUAGCCCAAUUUUGGUUAACCACAAAUUCAACAUUUAAAGAAGCUGACCCAGUCUUCCCAAAAGAAAGAAACCCGAAAAAUGCAGCCCAAACCAAGACAAACGUGAAUGAACCAAUUACCCUAGCUACAUAAAAGGAAAAUAACCAGGUUAUGGGCCUAAUUUAAUUAAACUAGGUGAUUGAACAGAAUAACAACCAGAAAUUAAGCCACGCUUAACAAACUACAAAAAUCAGAGAAGCGAAUUUGGGACAAUAAAGCAAACAAGGAAUAAGAGCACAUAACUUAUCCUUUAACCAGAAGAUUUGGUCAAACUUUAGUUGGAGUGACUAGAGAAAGAAAAGAAGAAAAAAAAGAAAAAGAGAUGAGGAGGCACGGAGAUUAAAAUGACACCAAACAUGAACGAAGAAGGAAAGGAGAACUUACCGACCAAAAGCGCAAAACCGGGACUCGACCUUUUGAUUUCGUCCCUAAAUAACGUCCAUCGUUUGUUCUUUGUCAAGAACAAGAGAAAACGUUAUUAUGAGACAAAACCAACCCAAAGAACUUAGAGGAAUGGGGCAAUAUCCAUGCAUGCACAGGUGUGGGAUUUGGCUUCUAGGAUUCGAUUUUCAAAUUCAAGAUUCGAGACGCUCCAGCAGUAUUUGAGGGGAAUGGAGUGGGGAUUUGAGAUGAGGGGAACGAGAUGGUUAUAGGGUGUAAUUUUGGGGCCGAUUGGACGAGUUAGGGUUUUGGUCGUUCUCUUCGAUUCAAGAUUCGAAGAGUUCUAGUAGGAUUCGAGGAAGGGGUUUUGGAGAUUUGGGAAGAGGAGAAGGAGGGAAAUCUAUGGUGUUAAUUUGGAGUCGAUUGGAGUACCGCCGCCGGUGGAGACGAUUUCCGGCAGGCGGUUCACGGCGAAGGUGAUGAGGGUUCAGAGAAGGAGAUGA
Molecule: long non-coding RNA, 2376 nt
Filed under: Nicotiana tabacum (common tobacco)
Lineage: Eukaryota; Viridiplantae; Streptophyta; Magnoliopsida; Solanales; Solanaceae
Description: long non-coding RNA (NTAB_LNC015612)
Source: RNAcentral